This 712-nucleotide long non-coding RNA is filed under the name Pan troglodytes (chimpanzee). RNAcentral describes it as "lincRNA". Lineage: Eukaryota; Metazoa; Chordata; Mammalia; Primates; Hominidae. The record is from RNAcentral.
GUUAUUUGGCUGGAGUGAGGUCUCAUGGCUGUUUAUGCGGUGGCUCGCUGCUCAGGACAUGCCUAGCUAGAUGCCUGGAAUUUCCCUUGAAGGAAGUCAAGAUUUUCCUUUAUCUCCAUACUGGCUGAUGGUGAUCGAGUAAGCCCCUAAGAGGGGCCCCUGCUCCAUCUCAAGAUGCUGCUAGAUUCUACAGUGCCUAAUAAACAGCUCUCGCCUGACCGACAAAGAGCUGCUUGCUCUCUGGAUAGCAAUUCCAAAGUGAACAGACAACAUCCUGUUUGGAAGACUGCCACUCUGUUAGAAGAAGCAUCAGGAAAACCUUUCUUUUGAGCUAUUUAUAACUAACAGCAAUUGACCAAGUAUACUUUUGUGAGUGAAACUGACCUUUCUCCCUGAAUCAUUGGAGAUACUCAUUACUCUUUGAAGGCUUACAGUGGAAUGAAUUCAAAUACAACUUAUUUGAGGAAUUGAAGUUGACUUUAUGGAGCUGAUAAGAAUCUUCUUGGAAAAAAAAAGACUGGUACUUCUGAAUUAACCAAAAUCACAGUAUUCUGAAGAUGAUUCUACAAAGCCUGCUGUUUUCUACAAAGGCUGCUGAUGAUUUCUACAAAGCCUGCUGUAGUGUUGCUGUGGCCUCUGCUUAAAAAAGUAGAAAACACAUUGAUGCAGCAUGUUCACCCCAACCUCCCCGCCUAAAGGCUCAGGGACCAUC